GAAACCUAAUUGCAGAUCCUAUAAAAGUAAGAAUAAAAAGUAUAUUUGACCAUUUAAAAUUAUAAUUUAAAAUUUGUCAAGUAUAGUCAAAGCUCACAGAGAGUCUCCAAUAAUGUGCAAUUUCUAGAUCUAAUUUUCCAAAGAUUUUGGCAAAAAGAUAUUUCAAGGUUUCAAAAUAUUAUUAAAAAUAAAAAGAAUUAGGAAACCUUUUUGGAGUUUAUGAAACGCUUUCUAGCUAGAGUUUUCAAAAAGUUCCGAUUUUCAAAACAUGUCCGAAAUAAUUCUUUGAAGUUUUCGUGCAACCUAUCC
This 309-nucleotide long non-coding RNA is filed under the name Olea europaea subsp. europaea. Lineage: Eukaryota; Viridiplantae; Streptophyta; Magnoliopsida; Lamiales; Oleaceae. The record is from RNAcentral.